AAAACUUUCAACAACGGAUCUCUUGGUUCUGGCAUCGAUGAAGAACGCAGCGAAAUGCGAUAAGUAAUGUGAAUUGCAGAAUUCAGUGAAUCAUCGAAUCUUUGAACGCAUCUUGCACCCUCCGGUAUCCCGGUGGGUAUGCCUGUUCGAGCGUCGUU
This 158-nucleotide ribosomal RNA is filed under the name Dirina fallax. Its description in RNAcentral is "5.8S ribosomal RNA". It matches the Rfam family "5.8S ribosomal RNA". Rfam says of the family: 5.8S ribosomal RNA (5.8S rRNA) is a component of the large subunit of the eukaryotic ribosome. It is transcribed by RNA polymerase I as part of the 45S precursor that also contains 18S and 28S rRNA. The record is from RNAcentral. Lineage: Eukaryota; Fungi; Ascomycota; Arthoniomycetes; Arthoniales; Roccellaceae.